RNAcentral lists this unclassified non-coding RNA (303 nucleotides) under uncultured fungus. Its description in RNAcentral is "sequence contains 5.8S rRNA gene". Lineage: Eukaryota; Fungi. The record is from RNAcentral.
GAACGCACCUUGCACUCUUUUGUUAUUCAGAAGAGUAUGCCUGUUUGAGUGUCGCGAACCUCUCAACCCCGCCCGGGUAAUACUGGGUUGUUUGGGCUUGGAUCUUGAUCGUUGUCGGCUGUUCGUUAGAAACCGACUUGAUUUAAAUAUAACAAGCUGAAUCAUAACAUUUGCGGCUUGACCUGACGUUGUAAAUCAACUCGUUGGGGACGCAGUGUGUGAAAGAGCUUUGUAAAUAAAUAACUUGCAGUGAUGCAGUACAUUCAGACCUCAAAUCAGGUAGGACUACCCGCUGAACUUAAG